Molecule: long non-coding RNA, 648 nt
Organism: Lethenteron reissneri (Far Eastern brook lamprey)
Lineage: Eukaryota; Metazoa; Chordata; Hyperoartia; Petromyzontiformes; Petromyzontidae
Source: RefSeq, a predicted model, not a curated record
UCGCUGUCGCCCUGCAUUUGGCGUCGCGCUGCGCAGAAGCAAGCGGGUCGCUAUAAUAGCGCUGCGGCGCAACCUGCGCCGUUUCCAGCAGCAGCUGCAGAAGCGGCAGCAGAUGGGGCGAGCAUAGGUGCAGCAUCCACGAGCCUGUCGAAACAAAGAAUACGAACACAAUUUCCCAGACCUGUUGAAGAUAAAGACAAAGAUACCCCAUAUAGCCUUUAACGGACUGUUGGGACGAGUGCAGUUCGUGAACACUUCAUGAAGGCUGGAAUGGCACACGAGGGGGAGCAGAAGACCACAGUGGUUCACUUACACCACGGCUGGGGAACGUCCGGCCCGCGAAAUCAUUUGGUGUGGCCCUACCAAGGCAACCGCAGGCGGGACUCGAAAUUCAAUAAAUCUCGGAGCAAACCUGGAAAAGCAUCUGCAAGUAGCAGCAACAUCAUCAACACCAGCCUACAUCACACGGCCUCGCCAAAGAGAAGCAGUUCCAGCCAUCACAUUAGGGCUGCCGGUAAAAGUCAACAAGAGAACACUCCUGGUGUUUUCCGCGGCACUUAUCGUCACAGCUGUGGAGGAGCAUCAUCAGGGUCCACGGAGAAGGGAGAAGAGAAAAGCAACAUGUCCUUUUCAAUAACUGCAAAGUCC